AGAGUUUGAUUCUGGCUCAGGAUGAACGCUGGCGGCGCGCCUAACACAUGCAAGUCGAACGGCACCCCUCUCCGGAGGGAAGCGAGUGGCGAACGGCUGAGUAACACGUGGAGAACCUGCCCCCUCCCCCGGGAUAGCCGCCCGAAAGGACGGGUAAUACCGGAUACCCCGGGGCGCCGCAUGGCACCCCGGCUAAAGCCCCGACGGGAGGGGAUGGCUCCGCGGCCCAUCACGUAGACGGCGGGGUGACGGCCCACCGUGCCGCCAACGGGUAGCCGGGUUGAGAGACCGACCGGCCAGAUUGGGACUGAGACACGGCCCAGACUCCUACGGGAGGCAGCAGUGGGGAAUCUUGCGCAAUGGGGGGAACCCUGACGCAGCGACGCCGCGUGCGGGACGGAGGCCUUCGGGUCGUAAACCGCUUUCAGCAGGGAAGAGUCAAGACUGUACCUGCAGAAGAAGCCCCGGCUAACUACGUGCCAGCAGCCGCGGUAAUACGUAGGGGGCGAGCGUUAUCCGGAUUCAUUGGGCGUAAAGCGCGCGUAGGCGGCCCGGCAGGCCGGGGGUCGAAGCGGGGGGCUCAACCCCCCGAAGCCCCCGGAACCUCCGCGGCUUGGGUCCGGUAGGGGAGGGUGGAACACCCGGUGUAGCGGUGGAAUGCGCAGAUAUCGGGUGGAACACCGGUGGCGAAGGCGGCCCUCUGGGCCGAGACCGACGCUGAGGCGCGAAAGCUGGGGGAGCGAACAGGAUUAGAUACCCUGGUAGUCCCAGCCGUAAACG
RNAcentral lists this ribosomal RNA (780 nucleotides) under uncultured bacterium. Its description in RNAcentral is "bacterial SSU rRNA". It matches the Rfam family "Bacterial small subunit ribosomal RNA", at positions 8 to 808 of the family's 1533-position model. The record is from RNAcentral.